Molecule: ribosomal RNA, 1575 nt
Filed under: Salmonella enterica
Lineage: Bacteria; Pseudomonadati; Pseudomonadota; Gammaproteobacteria; Enterobacterales; Enterobacteriaceae
Description: partial 23S ribosomal RNA
Rfam family: Bacterial large subunit ribosomal RNA
Source: RNAcentral
AAUCCAUAGGUUAAUGAGGCGAACCGGGGGAACUGAAACAUCUAAGUACCCCGAGGAAAAGAAAUCAACCGAGAUUCCCCCAGUAGCGGCGAGCGAACGGGGAGGAGCCCAGAGCCUGAAUCAGCAUGUGUGUUAGUGGAAGCGUCUGGAAAGGCGCGCGAUACAGGGUGACAGCCCCGUACACAAAAGCGCAUGUGCUGUGAGCUCGAUGAGUAGGGCGGGACACGUGGUAUCCUGUCUGAAUAUGGGGGGACCAUCCUCCAAGGCUAAAUACUCCUGACUGACCGAUAGUGAACCAGUACCGUGAGGGAAAGGCGAAAAGAACCCCGGCGAGGGGAGUGAAAAAGAACCUGAAACCGUGUACGUACAAGCAGUGGGAGCACCCUUUGGGUGUGACUGCGUACCUUUUGUAUAAUGGGUCAGCGACUUAUAUUCUGUAGCAAGGUUAACCGAAUAGGGGAGCCGGAGGGAAACCGAGUCUUAACCGGGCGUUAAGUUGCAGGGUAUAGACCCGAAACCCGGUGAUCUAGCCAUGGGCAGGUUGAAGGUUGGGUAACACUAACUGGAGGACCGAACCGACUAAUGUUGAAAAAUUAGCGGAUGACCUGUGGCUGGGGGUGAAAGGCCAAUCAAACCGGGAGAUAGCUGGUUCUCCCCGAAAGCUAUUUAGGUAGCGCCUCGUGAAUUCAUCUCCGGGGGUAGAGCACUGUUUCGGCUAGGGGGCCAUCCCGGCUUACCAACCCGAUGCAAACUGCGAAUACCGGAGAAUGUUAUCACGGGAGACACACGGCGGGUGCUAACGUCCGUCGUGAAGAGGGAAACAACCCAGACCGCCAGCUAAGGUCCCAAAGUCAUGGUUAAGUGGGAAACGAUGUGGGAAGGCCCAGACAGCCAGGAUGUUGGCUUAGAAGCAGCCAUCAUUUAAAGAAAGCGUAAUAGCUCACUGGUCGAGUCGGCCUGCGCGGAAGAUGUAACGGGGCUAAACCAUGCACCGAAGCUGCGGCAGCGACACUGUGUGUUGUUGGGUAGGGGAGCGUUCUGUAAGCCUGUGAAGGUGUGUCGUGAGGCAUGCUGGAGGUAUCAGAAGUGCGAAUGCUGACAUAAGUAACGAUAAAGCGGGUGAAAAGCCCGCUCGCCGGAAGACCAAGGGUUCCUGUCCAACGUUAAUCGGGGCAGGGUGAGUCGACCCCUAAGGCGAGGCCGAAAGGCGUAGUCGAUGGGAAACGGGUUAAUAUUCCCGUACUUGGUGUUACUGCGAAGGGGGGACGGAGAAGGCUAUGUUGGCCGGGCGACGGUUGUCCCGGUUUAAGCGUGUAGGUGUGUGUUCCAGGUAAAUCCGGUUCACUUUAACACUGAGGCGUGACGACGAGGCACUACGGUGCUGAAGCAACAAAUGCCCUGCUUCCAGGAAAAGCCUCUAAGCAUCAGGUAACAUCAAAUCGUACCCCAAACCGACACAGGUGGUCAGGUAGAGAAUACCAAGGCGCUUGAGAGAACUCGGGUGAAGGAACUAGGCAAAAUGGUGCCGUAACUUCGGGAGAAGGCACGCUGACACGUAGGUGAAGUGAUUUACUC